Molecule: ribosomal RNA, 263 nt
Filed under: uncultured soil bacterium
Lineage: Bacteria
Description: partial 16S ribosomal RNA
Rfam family: Bacterial small subunit ribosomal RNA
Source: RNAcentral
AGAGUGAACGCUGGCGGUAGGCCUAACACAUGCAAGUCGAACGGCAGCACAGUAGGAGCUUGCUCUUACGGGUGGCGAGUGGCGGACGGGUGAGGAAUACAUCGGAAUCUACCUUUUGGUGGGGGAUAACGUAGGGAAACUUACGCUAAUACCGCAUACGCCCUUCGGGGGAAAGCCGGGGACCAGCAAUGGCCUGGCGCUGAUAGAUGAGCCGAUGUCGGAUUAGCUAGUUGGUGAGGUAAUGGCCUACCAACGGACGGACG